ACGGGUGAGUAACACGUGAGCAACCUGCCCCUGACUCUGGGAUAAGCGCUGGAAACGGUGUCUAAUACUGGAUAUGUCCCAUCACCGCAUGGUGUGUGGGUGGAAAGAUUUUUCGGUUGGGGAUGGGCUCGCGGCCUAUCAGCUUGUUGGUGAGGUAAUGGCUCACCAAGGCGUCGACGGGUAGCCGGCCUGAGAGGGUGACCGGCCACACUGGGACUGAGACACGGCCCACACUCCUACGGGAGGCAGCAGUGGGGAAUAUUGCACAAUGGGCGCAAGCCUGAUGCAGCAACGCCGCGUGAGGGAUGACGGCCUUCGGGUUGUAAACCUCUUUUAGCAGGGAAGAAGCGAGAGUGACGGUACCUGCAGAAAAAGCACCGGCUAACUACGUGCCAGCAGCCGCGGUAAUACGUAGGGUGCAAGCGUUAUCCGGAAUUAUUGGGCGUAAAGAGCUCGUAGGCGGUUUGUCGCGUCUGCUGUGAAAUUCCGAGGCUCAACCUCGGGCUUGCAGUGGGUACGGGCAGACUAGAGUGCGGUAGGGGAGAUUGGAAUUCCUGGUGUAGCGGUGGAAUGCGCAGA
This 579-nucleotide ribosomal RNA is filed under the name Microbacteriaceae bacterium StRD763. RNAcentral's name for it is "bacterial SSU rRNA". It matches the Rfam family "Bacterial small subunit ribosomal RNA", at positions 102 to 694 of the family's 1533-position model. The record is from RNAcentral. Lineage: Bacteria; Bacillati; Actinomycetota; Actinomycetes; Micrococcales; Microbacteriaceae.